UAGCCGUAAACGAUACUCGCUAGGUGUCGGCCACGGUGCGACCGUUGUCGGUGCCGUGGGAAGCCGUGAAGCGAGCCACCUGGGAAGUACGGCCGCAAGGCUGAAACUUAAAGGAAUUGGCGGGGGAGCACCACAACGGGUGGAGCUUGCGGUUUAAUUGGAUUCAACGCCGGAAAUCUUACCGGGACCGACAGCAACAUGAAGGCCAGGCUGAAGACUUUGCCGGAUUAGCUGAGAGGUGGUGCAUGGCGUAGACGUCU
This 260-nucleotide ribosomal RNA is filed under the name uncultured archaeon. RNAcentral describes it as "partial 16S ribosomal RNA". It matches the Rfam family "Archaeal small subunit ribosomal RNA", at positions 748 to 1009 of the family's 1478-position model. The record is from RNAcentral.